CGCUGGAGAGCGUUGCGGACGGGAACGAUCCCGCCGAGCGCGCGCCGACGGAGGAACCUGCGGUCGCAGAUGCGCCGCGGGGACGCUCUCAGGCACCAGGACAGCG
RNAcentral lists this non-coding RNA (106 nucleotides) under Chloroflexota bacterium. RNAcentral describes it as "Chloroflexi bacterium Glycine sequence". It matches the Rfam family "Glycine riboswitch aptamer", at positions 9 to 86 of the family's 94-position model. From Rfam's summary of the family: This family represents the bacterial glycine riboswitch. Glycine riboswitches usually consist of two metabolite-binding aptamers domains with similar structures in tandem. The record is from RNAcentral. Lineage: Bacteria; Bacillati; Chloroflexota.